Molecule: ribosomal RNA, 497 nt
Filed under: uncultured bacterium
Lineage: Bacteria
Description: partial 16S ribosomal RNA
Rfam family: Bacterial small subunit ribosomal RNA
Source: RNAcentral
GAUGAACGCUGGCGGCGUGCCUAAUACAUGCAAGUCGAGCGAACGGACGAGAAGCUUGCUUCUCUGAUGUUAGCGGCGGACGGGUGAGUAACACGUGGAUAACCUACCUAUAAGACUGGGAUAACUUCGGGAAGCCGUAGCUAAUACCGGAUAAUAUUUUGAACCGCAUGGUUCAAAAGUGAAAGACGGUCUUGCUGUCACUUAUAGAUGGAUCCGCGCUGCAUUAGCUAGUUGGUAAGGUAACGGCUUACCAAGGCAACGAUGCAUAGCCGACCUGAGAGGGGGAUCGGCCACACUGGAACUGAGACACGGUCCAGACUCCUACGGGAGGCAGCAGUAGGGAAUCUUCCGCAAUGGGCGAAAGCCUGACGGAGCAACGCCGCGUGAGUGAUGAAGGUCUUCGGAUCGUAAAACUCUGUUAUUAGGUAAGAACAUAUGUGUAAGUAACUGUGCACAUCUUGACGGUACCUAAUCAGAAAGCCACGGCUAACUACGUG